GCACAGAGAAGGGAAACAAUGAGGAACGUGCCUUUCGGUUAGAGGUUGUGAUUGGGAUGGAUGUGGCUGCUUCUGAGUUUUAUGGUAAAGACAAGACUUAUGAUCUAAACUUCAAAGAAGAGAAUAAUGAUGGCUCACAAAAGAUAUCAGGUUAUGACUGAAGGCUCUCAUUUCAUUGGAAAGUUUGGAAGCUACUGCAAGUUCUUUCUACUUGCUAGGGAUGAGAAUAUUUUAGUUUGUGCACAAGAGAAUCUUUUAAGUUUGUGCACAUGAGAAUCUUUCAAGUUUGUAUUUGUUAGGGAUUUGUUAUGUUAGUACUUGUUACUGACUUUUAGUUCAACAAAUUAUAUUUGAGUA
Molecule: long non-coding RNA, 357 nt
Organism: Coffea eugenioides
Lineage: Eukaryota; Viridiplantae; Streptophyta; Magnoliopsida; Gentianales; Rubiaceae
Exons: 3
Source: RefSeq, a predicted model, not a curated record